AUACGAAGGGGGCUAGCGUUGUUCGGAAUUACUGGGCGUAAAGCGCGCGUAGGCGGACUGAUCAGUUGGGGGUGAAAUCCCAGGGCUUAACCCUGGAACUGCCUCCAAUACUGUCAGUCUUGAGUACGGGAGAGGUGAGUGGAAUUCCUAGUGUAGAGGUGAAAUUCGUAGAUAUUAGGAAGAACACCAGUGGCGAAGGCGGCUCACUGGCCCGAUACUGACGCUGAGGCGCGAAAGCGUGGGGAGCAAACAGGAUUAGAAACCCUAGUAGUCC
RNAcentral lists this ribosomal RNA (274 nucleotides) under uncultured bacterium. Its description in RNAcentral is "partial 16S ribosomal RNA". It matches the Rfam family "Bacterial small subunit ribosomal RNA", at positions 523 to 796 of the family's 1533-position model. The record is from RNAcentral.